RNAcentral lists this ribosomal RNA (521 nucleotides) under uncultured bacterium. Its description in RNAcentral is "bacterial SSU rRNA". It matches the Rfam family "Archaeal small subunit ribosomal RNA", at positions 345 to 866 of the family's 1478-position model. The record is from RNAcentral.
AACCUCCGCAAUGUGAGAAAUCGCGACGGGGGGAUCCCAAGUACCAUUCUUAACGGGAUGGCUUUUCAUUAGUGUAAAGAGCUUUUGGAAUAAGGGCUGGGCAAGACCGGUGCCAGCCGCCGCGGUAACACCGGCAGCUCUAGUGGUAGCAGUUUUUAUUGGGCCUAAAGCGUCCGUAGCCGGUUUAAUAAGUCUCUGGUGAAAUCCUGUAGCUUAACUGUGGGAAUUGCUGGAGAUACUAUUAGACUUGAGACCGGGAGAGGUUAGAGGUACUCCCAGGGUAGAGGUGAAAUUCUGUAAUCCUGGGAGGACCGCCUGUUGCGAAGGCGUCUAACUGGAACGGUUCUGACGGUGAGGGACGAAAGUUAGGGGCGCGAACCGGAUUAGAUACCCGGGUAGUCCUAACUGUAAACGAUGCGGACUUGGUGUUGGGGUGGCUUUGAGCUGCUCCAGUGCCGAAGGGAAGCUGUUAAGUCCGCCGCCUGGGAAGUACGGUCGCAAGACUGAAACUUAAAGGAAUU